RNAcentral lists this ribosomal RNA (253 nucleotides) under uncultured bacterium. RNAcentral's name for it is "partial 16S ribosomal RNA". It matches the Rfam family "Bacterial small subunit ribosomal RNA", at positions 524 to 776 of the family's 1533-position model. The record is from RNAcentral.
UACGUAGGUGGCGAGCGUUGUCCGGAUUUACUGGGCGUAAAGCGCGCGCAGGCGGUUCUGUAAGUCCUGGGUGAAAUCGCCCGGCUCAACUGGGCGGGGGCCUGGGGGACUGCGGGACUGGAGGGGCCUAGAGGCCGGUGGAACUCCCGGUGUAGUGGUGAAAUGCGUAGAGAUCGGGAAGAACACCGGUGGCGAAGGCGGUCUGCUGGGGUAAUGCUGACACUGAUGCGCGACAGCGUGGGGAGCAAACAGG